This 140-nucleotide ribosomal RNA is filed under the name uncultured bacterium. RNAcentral describes it as "partial 16S rRNA". It matches the Rfam family "Bacterial small subunit ribosomal RNA", at positions 355 to 507 of the family's 1533-position model. The record is from RNAcentral.
UGGGGAAUAUUGCACAAUGGGCGCAAGCCUGAUGCAGCGACGCCGCGUGGGGGAUGAAGGCCUUCGGGUUGUAAACCCCUUUCAGCAGGGAAGAAGCGAAAGUGACGGUACCUGCAGAAGAAGCGCCGGCUAACUACGUG